Molecule: ribosomal RNA, 253 nt
Filed under: uncultured bacterium
Lineage: Bacteria
Description: partial 16S ribosomal RNA
Rfam family: Bacterial small subunit ribosomal RNA
Source: RNAcentral
UACGUAGGGGGCAAGCGUUGUCCGGAAUUAUUGGGCGUAAAGAGCGUGUAGGCGGUCCGGUAAGUCAGCUGUGAAAGUCAAGGGCUCAACCCUUGAAAGCCGGUUGAUACUGUCGGGCUAGAGUCCGGAAGAGGCGAGUGGAAUUCCCGGUGUAGCGGUGAAAUGCGUAGAUAUCAGGAGGAACACCUGUGGUGUAGACGGCUUACUGGACCAUGACUGACGCUGAGGCACGAAAGCGUGGGGAGCAAACAGG